GGAGAAGAAAAAAUCCUUGGGAAUAGCAGGAUUUGGAUCCCCUUUGGAUCCCUUAGGAGGAUUUGGGAUCCCCUUGGAUCCCAAAAUUUGGGAUAUUUUUGGGCCUCAUCCCAGGAUUUUUCUGGGACCAAAAUCCUCGGGAAUAUCCCCUUUGGAUCCCUUAGCAGGAUUUGGGAUCCCCUUGGAUCCCAAAUUUUGGGAUCCCUUUGGAUGGUCCCAGGGCCUCAUCCCAGGGUUUCUCUGGGACUAAAAAUCCUCGGGAAUAUCAGGAUUUGGGAUCCCUUUAAAUCUCAAAAUUUGGGAUCUUUUUGGGCCUCGUCCCAGGGUUUUUCUGGGACCAAAAAUCCUCGGGAAUAGCAGGAUUUGGGAUCCCUUUGGAUCCCAAAAUUUGCGAUCCCUUUGGGUGGUCCCAGAGCCUCAUCCCAGGGUUUUUCUGGGACUAAAAAUCCUCAGGAAUAGCAGGAUUUGGGAUUCCUUUGGAUCCCCUUAGGAGGAUUUGGGAUCCCUUUGGAUCCCAGAAUUUGGGACCUUUUUGGGCCUCAUCCCAGGGUUUUUCUGGGACCAAAAAUCCUCGGGAUUAUCAGAAUUUGGGAUUCCUUUGGAUCCCAAAAUUUGGGAUAUUUUUGGGCCUCAUCCCAGGGUUUUUCUGGGACCAAAAAUCCUUGGGAUUAUCAGAAUUUGGGAUCCCCUUGGCUCACAAAAUUUGGGAUAUUUUUGCAUCCCAGGGUUUUUCUGGGACCAAAAAUCCUCGGGAACAGCGGGAUUUGGGACUCCUUUGGAUCCCAAAAUUUGGGAUAUUUUUGGGCCCCACCCCAGGGGUUUUUUUUGGGAAGUGGGAUCGCAGCUGUGCCACCUUGGGCUCCAGGGAAGUUUUUUGUCGGUUUGGGAUUUUUGGGGUUUUUUGUCCCCACAGAAAAUGGGUCGGAGUUGAGGUGGGGGUGGGGACACCCUGGAGGUGACAGGGACAUGGAGAUGUCACCAUGGAGGUGACAGGGACAUGGAGAUGUCACCAUGGAAGUGACAAGGACAUGGAGAUGUCACCGUGGUGGUGACAGGGACAUGGAGAUGUCCCUCAGGAGGUGACAAGGACACUGGGAUGUCCCUCAGGAGGUGCUGGGGACAUGGAGAUGUCACCAUGGAGGUGGCAAGGACAUGGAGGUGACACCCUGGAGGUGACAGGGACACGGGGAUGUCCCUCGGGAGGUGACAAGGACAUGGGGAUGUCCCUCAGGAGGUGACAAGGACACAGAGGUGUCCCUCAGGAGGUGACAAGGACAUGGGGAUGUCCCUCAGGAGGUGACAAGGACACGGGCAUCGCUCUGGGCCUGCUGGGGACAUCCUUUGUCACAUUCCCAUUUUUUCCCUUUUCUUUCUUUGUCCUCCUUUCCCCCAUUUCCCCCUUUUCUCUCCCUUAUUUCUCCUUUUCCCCUUUCCUCCUUUUUCCCUUUCCUUUUCCCUUUUCCCUUUUCCCUUUUCCCUUUUCCCCUUUUCCCCCUUUUCCCUUUUCCCUUUCCCCCUUUCCCCCUUUCCCCUUCCCCUUUCCCAUUUCCUUUUCCAUUUUCCUUCCCUUUCCCUUUUCCCCUUUCUGUUUU
Long non-coding RNA from Taeniopygia guttata (zebra finch), 1592 nucleotides. The record is from Ensembl. Lineage: Eukaryota; Metazoa; Chordata; Aves; Passeriformes; Estrildidae.